UUCUGAUAUUGGAUUCUCACAAUUGACUCUGUUGAGUAAGUACUGUUAUUAUCAUUUCCAUUUUACAGAUGGAGAAAAUGAGUUAUUAAAUGACUUUCUUAAGUUCAAAUAGCUGGAGGUCAAUUAAGAUGAGAAAAGAGACUCAGAAGAGAAAAUUGUUUUUGUUCAAGAUCACAAAGAGAGGCCACUUCUGGCAUCACAUGUUCUUACGUCACAGGGGCCAGGCAGCCCACCCACCAGAUGCUGAAAGAUCUGGAUAAAGAAAACCAAGAAAUUAAACCCUGAUUUGUAGCAAUUUCUGAGGUAUAAAGGCUCAUACUGAAAUUUAACUAAUAGCUAUCAAGAACCCAUCCCAGCUGGUUCCAGCACAUUCCUGCAUAGCAGCUCUAUAAGGUAGGUAUUAUUAGGACUAGUUGAUAUAUGAUGAAACUGAGGCUAAAGGAUGUGUUAAGAUUAAAAUUAGUUUCUCUGCUA
This 474-nucleotide long non-coding RNA is filed under the name Monodelphis domestica (gray short-tailed opossum). RNAcentral's name for it is "lncRNA (ENSMODG00000045861.1)". Lineage: Eukaryota; Metazoa; Chordata; Mammalia; Didelphimorphia; Didelphidae. The record is from RNAcentral.